UACCAGCACCCCGAGUGGUCGGGACGUUUAUUGGGCCUAAAGCAUCCGUAGCCGGUUCUACAAGUCUUCCGUUAAAUCCAACUGCUUAACAGGUGGGCUGCGGAAGAUACUAUAGAGCUAGGAGGCGGGAGAGGCAAGCGGUACUCGAUGGGUAGGGGUAAAAUCCGUUGAUCCAUUGAAGACCACCAGUGGCGAAGGCGGCUUGCCAGAACGCGCUCGACGGUGAGGGAUGAAAGCGUGGGGAGCAAACCGG
Molecule: ribosomal RNA, 253 nt
Filed under: uncultured bacterium
Lineage: Bacteria
Description: partial 16S ribosomal RNA
Rfam family: Archaeal small subunit ribosomal RNA
Source: RNAcentral